This 478-nucleotide unclassified non-coding RNA is filed under the name Hevea brasiliensis (rubber tree). Lineage: Eukaryota; Viridiplantae; Streptophyta; Magnoliopsida; Malpighiales; Euphorbiaceae. The record is from RNAcentral.
GAUCAUCUCCUCACCCACCAUUGAUGCAAGCGGAGAUCACAAACUGAGCUGGAUCCCGACAAAAGCCCGAUGUCAAGGCUCUGUAGCAGAGUGCAUGGGAGAAGAUGAAUUCCACAUGGUCUCUGAGAUUAGCAGGAGGUUACUUCAGACGGCCACCACACAGUACAUAAGCUAUGGAGCGCUGCAGAGGAACACCGUGCCAUGCUCCCAGAGAGGUGCAUCCUACUAUAACUGCCAGCCAGGUGCGGAGGCCAACCCCUAUUCCCGCGGUUGCAGUGCUAUUACUCGCUGCCGUAGUUAAGGUUAUUAAAACCUGCUGUUUCUAUGGUCUUAUUAAUUUGUAUUGGAUUUCUUCCGUAGUUAAGGUCAUUAAAACCUGCUGUUUCUAUGUUCUUAUUAAUUUGUAUUGGAUUUGUUUUGUAAGAUACAUAUAACAUUGCAACAAACAGAUGUUACAUGUCUUAAUAACCACUUUAUU